AAAGUCUAUAUUUGACUCUUACAUAUUAACAUUGUGAAGGAAAAAUCUUGGGAGAGUUACAGCGCUUCGCUAUAAUGAAAUAAAAUGCUAGUUAUUUUGAAGCGAACUAAAAAUUGUGAGAAGAACAGGAGGAUUUGAAAAGAUUUUUCAAAAGUUCGAAAGAUUACAUGAUUAAUGUAAAUUUUGGAUUUCCUCGCUGGUUAAUCUUAAUUCAUUACAACUACUGGUAGCAUGAUGAAUCAUCAGGAAUUUAUGCCAGUACUCUGUUAGAAGUUGGUGAAGUGAUUAAUUUUCAAUGAGAUUAAAGCAUAAUUUGUCUUGUGCAAAGGAGAUUAUAAUUUGCUGGCUUGUCAUUUUAAUCUUUAAUCAUAUUUUCGCAAAGGGAUUAAAAUGGUGGAUUUUUCGGGGGAUUUUUAAUA
This 419-nucleotide unclassified non-coding RNA is filed under the name Meloidogyne hapla. Lineage: Eukaryota; Metazoa; Nematoda; Chromadorea; Rhabditida; Meloidogynidae. The record is from RNAcentral.